RNAcentral lists this long non-coding RNA (1338 nucleotides) under Callithrix jacchus (white-tufted-ear marmoset). RNAcentral's name for it is "lncRNA (ENSCJAG00000073223.1)". Lineage: Eukaryota; Metazoa; Chordata; Mammalia; Primates; Cebidae. The record is from RNAcentral.
CAGGAGUUAAAGUCAACAGAUGCGUGGCAUUCCUUUCCAUUUUGCAACAGCUCCAGAAGUCCCAAGUUGGCUCCAUCACCACCUCUGUCACCCUAUAACCUGCAAGUACUGGGAAAUCUGUAGAAAGGAUGCUGGUAUGACCCAGAAGCCAGGAAAUGGCAUUACAUUAAAAUUUCUGCAGUUUCGUUGGAAUUCUACUCCCAUCAGGAUACCCGUUCCCAUAGCCACUCCAUCACUGUGCACUUGCCCAUGACCUCUGCCCACUGCCUUGCCAGUGCAUGCUCACCCAUGGCCUCCACACUCUAGUGCACUCUCCUGCAGCUCCCUGUCACCUCAUUGGAGAAUUUUGACUGGUAGCCCUAAUCAAAAUGUUGUUAGUAGUGGACUGAGAAUACCUCAGUCACCCUAGCACAGUAGGAACUUGACCUAAAGGGGCCAGAGAACAAAGCUGUGAACCUGGUACCAACCCUCCAAGUUUAGACUACUCAGUCCAGGAAUGCUGACUGAGCCUUGGCCCAUGAAAGCACCCAGAAAUGAACUAAAUCAACUAAACACAACUUUUACCAUAGUCAAACCCUCAAAGGCUUCAAAAAAUGUAAAGGUAAAAGAGCACCAGCCAAAGGAUAACUUCAAAAAUUAAAGGAACAUCAGCUAACACAGACAAGAAAAAAAAAGCAAAAGAAUUUUGACAACUGUAAAAGUCAAAGUAUCUUCUUACCUCCAAAUGAUCACACUAGCUCCCCAGCAAUGGCUUUCAACCAGACUAAAACGGCUGAAAUGACAGACAAAUAAUUCAGAAUCAGGAUAGCAACGAAAAUCAAUGAGAUGCAAGAGAAGGUUAAAGCAUAAUCCUAGAAAAGCAGUAAAAUGAUUCCUGAGUUGAAAGAUAGCUAACAUACCAAUUUUAAGAAAGAACCAAACUCAAAUUCUGUAAAUAAAAAAUUUACUACAUGAAUUUCAUAACACAAUUGGAAGCAUUAAUAACAGAAUAGAUCAAACUGAGGAAAGAAUCUCAGAGUUCAAAGACCACUCCUUUGAAUCAGUGCAGGCCAACAAAUACAAAAAAAGAAUUAAAAAAUGAAAAAAAACUCCAAUAAAUAUGGGAUUAUGUGAAGAGAACAAACCUAUGACUGAUUGGCAUUCUUGAAAAAGACAAGACAGCAAAAAUCUUGGAAAAUAUAUUUGAGGAUAUUGUCUGUGAAAAUUUCCUCAGCCUUGUCAGAGAGGUUGACAAUAAAUACCAAAAAGUCAGAGAACCCCUGUGAAAUACUAUACAGCAUGACCAUUACUAAGACACAUAGUCAUCAGAUUAUCAAGAUCAAUGCAAAAGAAAAAUUC